GCCUGGGUGGCUCAGUCGGUUAAGCGCCCGACUUCAGCUCAGGGCGUGGUCUCAUGGCUUGUGGGUUCGAGCCCCACGUCGGGCU
RNAcentral lists this transfer RNA (85 nucleotides) under Felis catus (domestic cat). It matches the Rfam family "tRNA". From Rfam's summary of the family: Transfer RNA (tRNA) molecules are approximately 80 nucleotides in length. Their secondary structure includes four short double-helical elements and three loops (D, anti-codon, and T loops). Lineage: Eukaryota; Metazoa; Chordata; Mammalia; Carnivora; Felidae. The record is from Rfam by way of RNAcentral.